RNAcentral lists this ribosomal RNA (253 nucleotides) under uncultured bacterium. Its description in RNAcentral is "partial 16S ribosomal RNA". It matches the Rfam family "Bacterial small subunit ribosomal RNA", at positions 524 to 776 of the family's 1533-position model. The record is from RNAcentral.
UACGAAGGGGGCUAGCGUUGUUCGGAAUUACUGGGCGUAAAGCGCGCGUAGGCGGUGAUCUUUGUCAGAGGUGAAAGCCCGGGGCUCAACUCCGGAAUUGCCUUUGAAACGGGAUUGCUUGAGUCCGAGAGAGGAUGGCGGAAUUCCUAGUGUAGAGGUGAAAUUCGUAGAUAUUCGCAAGAACACCAGUGGCGAAGGCGGCUCACUGGCCCGAUACUGACGCUGAGGCACGAAAGCGUGGGGAGCAAACAGG